AUAUAUAUAUAUAUAUAUAUAUAUUGAGACAUUGAGGUCAGUGUGGGUGAGGAGGCAGAGAUAGAGAGAAAAUUCAGAGAAAAUUUCGGAUUUGAAAAUUAGGGUUCUUGAGGUUUCCUUGGAUUCUUCCAUUUUCAUUUUUGUUUUCGCGUCCAGAGAUACAAAAAAAAAACCGACAAAAAAAAUUAUUUUUCAGCUUCUGUUUUAAUUUUUUGUCAUGGAAUUCGAUUGAAGCGUUGUUGAGUGCCGAAGAUUUGUUGUCCAGUCAAGGUGUUCGUGUUCGCGUUCCUUGAGCUGUUUUGCUGCUCUGUUGCUUCAUUGUUGAUUCUGGAUCUUCAGUAGCAGUUUUUCGUUCUCAAGUUCAUCGCCGAAUCUUCUUCUGUUGUAAUCGAUACCAACAGAAUUAAUUGAAAGCUUAAUUUCCAGGUUCGUUUGUUUCUCUUGUUCUGUUUUGGUGUUAUUGAAAACAUGAUAAGAGCCUAGUUAUUUUGCAAUAUGUUAAAGAGUCCGUUUAGCCGCGCCUUAUUUGGAAUAGUUACUCUGUUUUACUUUGAUAUAAAUUGAGUUUCUGUUUUGGAAGUUAAGUUCGUUGUUGGCGUAGCUCGAUCUUACUAAGUUUCUAAACUUUGUUUGUUGUGUAACUGAUGGAUCAAUGAUGCAUGUCGUUCGUAAAUUUGAUUAGUGUCUUGUAUGCUGGUUUGAAAUCGAAAUCGAGGAAGAAUGAAUAUGUAGGUUAGUCGUGUUGACAUCUACUUGGAUAUUCCAAUUGAUGCGUUUAGUUUCAUUUUCAUGUUUCAAGGAAGAAUAACUUUGCUUUGUUCUGCUUGCCUCCAUGAUUUUUGAUGAAGUAAUUUGUUUAAGAACUACUGUUUAUCUAAGCAUAAAAGGAGACAUAAAAGGUCUUGUGCAUAAUUGGGAUUCCUGUUAAGGACAUGAUCGCAUUUGCUACUUAAUAAUCGUUGAAGGAUCUAUUGAGUAUUAUGGAUAGCAGUAGUACGCGAAAUUGGUCUGUGAGGUUGAAAGCUUUAAUUAUCAAGCUGGUCGUGUGUCGAAAUUGCUCUUUUUCACAUGUUUGUGUAGUUGGUCUAUAUCGCAUUCUGUUGUAAGUUUAGGGUCUCUCGAUGUUAGUUAAUCAGGUGACUGUGCAUGAGGGCUAGUUUUAAAUCUCGUUUGAGAGAUUCUGGUGCUGUGAUUGUGUAUGAAUCUGGUACACAAGCGAGGUUCCAGUUAGUUUGAGGGGAAAUUAAAUAGAUAUGCUAGAUUGAAUGUGAUUCGUCAUAAUCUUCGAUUUCUGUUUAUCACAUUAGGCAAAUUUAAACAUGAAAUGUUCUGCCAAAUCUUCUGCUGUUGCUUUUCAAGCGAGCUAAGCUGUCAUUGUUGAAGCUUCGAUUUUUCAAGAGUGUGGGAAUCAAAUGAAUGCUGAAAGUUCGAAAUGAAAUCAAUGCUUUAACAGUUUGAAAUAAUGUCAUGCUUCCGUUUGCCUAACAAAGAAUAGCUUUCUUCUGAAGUAUACUCUUUAGUUCUUUCCAGUUCACUUUUCCGACAGUGGUCUUUGAUAUUAAGGCAUGAGGAUUUGUUACUUAAGUGAAUCGUUUCUGAUGAAUUGGAGAAUUUAGCUCUUAGGAAUCUUCAAUGAGCUUGAGAGACAGUGAGGGACCUUCGUCGCGCUUCAGACCAACCUAUCCUUUACUUGGUUGUAUUUCCUGGUUGUGCUAAUCUAUAAAUGCUUUCAAUGUUUGAAUGAUUUCUUGCCUCGUUGGUGUGACGGUGUUACCUGGUUUGAAUGACUGUUGGGCCGUGGGAUUUGGGAAAAAGACUAGCCCAUCAGUGUUUAAACUUAUUUGCAUGCUAGAAUUGGGUUUGGUCUAAAUACAUGAAAGUGAUGUUAAAAGAACGUGACCCAAAGUUGAAUUUCUUUUAGUUUUUCUCUUAUUUACUUAUUCUCGUUUUAUUAUUAUUCGCUAGGAGCAUGUUAGGCCGACCACGCUCGGGUAGGCAAGCUUUAGGACCUUUUGUUAAUUGUGAGGCGAGAGGCCGUUCCCCUAGUUAAAUUUAUCCGGGUAAUGUCCCGAAGGACUUGUGUAUAUUUUAUUUCGGGGAAUGCCCCAAAGUACUUGUAUUGGGAGGCCUUAAGUGAAACUCAUACUAUUUUUAGUUUUAGUUUUAUUUUCCUUUUAUUAGGUGAGAACUACUUCGAAACUCUUGUGUGUUUGUUUUUCUUUUUUGUGUUUGUUUAUUUAUCUCAAUUCGAAUAUUCUAAAAGCCAACUAAAUCGAGUACGCAACCGUGACUUUCACGGGACUCAGGGAAUGCCUAACACCUUCUCCCCGAGUCAAAUGAACCCCUUUAUGCAAACCUCUGGUGCAGACUUAGUUUUGAGCCCAAGUAUUUUAAAAGGAAAAUAUUUUCUACAAAAACGGUGGCCUGGCAUACCGAAAUCAAAUGCCCAGGUGGCGACUCUGAGUUUUCCUUUUGAAUACAAUCUUUAUCACUUUCAAAAAUUGGAAAUCUUUUUUCAAGCUUUAUUUAAAUUUUUUUAUUUAUUUAAGAGGGCUAAGUGGAGUUUGGUUAAAAAGAUAUGUGACAGUUGUGUUUGGCUUAAAUUGUAAGUAGUUGCUGCCAGUUUAGGUAUGUAUAAUACUCUACUACAUGUUCUUGAAGUUGUUUGUAUAUUGGUUGCUAUGUUUGAGCAAGAUACUACAAGAGAAGACUUGAAAUAGUUUGAGAUGUUAUUGUUCUUAAUGGACUAUUUUGGGAAGGUUGUUUUCAUAAACUUUAAAUGGUUGGAAACCUUGGAAAAUGACUUGUUUAUGCUAUUGUUUUCAUUAAUAUAUUGUCUACAUGUCAAACUUGUUAUUGGUAUUGUGAAUAAGAAGAUAAAGGACAACAUAACAAUGGAAAUCCUGCGAUUUUGCUUAGCAUGUUGUUAAUUUAACUAAUGUAUGAUAAUGGGUUUGAAGGGCGCUAGUUGGAUUUAUCCAUUUCAAAGUCCUGUGAUGAUCCUCUUCCUCAUGAUGUUGCAAACACAUGUAAUAUUUCAUGUGAGACCCCUGGAUGUAGACAUAAAAACCAAGAAUAUGUGUCUUCCGUGUGUAUCCUAGUUGACAAAUGUGGCCGGCAGUUCCUCCCAAAUGAUACCAUAAAAUCAUUCAAAAACAUGUGCCCACAGUUAAUUUGGCCAGUGUAUGCUUAAUCCGGGCAAGUUCCUCCAUUAUGCAUUGAUUCAUGUAUUUCCUGCUUGUAGUAACAUAAUCAAACUAAAGAAGCAACAGUCAUACCAAAUUAGCCUCCGGUUGUCUUGAUAUUGCAUGACAACUUUGAAGAACAAAUUGGGAAGCCUUCAUUCUAAACGGCCAGUUGCGGUUGCCUUCCAUCUUGAUAUAGUACACCUACAAAUUAUCAAUAGCAUACAACAUAUGCUAGGACAAUGGUUUUGUUCCAGUUCAUGCUCUAGAAUGGCAAUUAGUAUACCAAUUCCCAACCCUAGCAAGUCAUCUUGAUGUACCACCUCCAUGCUUGUACCUAUCCUUGCUUCCCCUCCAAUGGAAUGAGUACAAAGUACUAAUACCACACAUUAAAGGUUAGUCCAAAGAUAAGGCAUGGAUACAGUAUCUUUUCCUACAAAAAAGAAUACAAUGUUAGUAAAGAACAACCACAUCAUGUUCUCAUCCCUAAGGACUCGAACAAGGUGGUCGUGUGUACUGCCAACAACCUUCUCCUCCAUCAUUGUACUCCUCACCUCCUAACUUCUUGCAACUUUUAUUCUCAAGUAUGGACAUUGGAAUUUUUCAUCAUUCACAAUUCUUCUUCCUUGGACAUCCAAUUGUGUGAAACAAUCACACUCAAUAGAACCAUAGUCAAUUGCAUAAUUGGUAAGAUGAUCUUCCAGUUUGUUUCCUACCUUAAAUAUGUGUGACACCCUAGCAUUACAUGUCACUAGUAUCUUCCUUAUUUUCUCCACAUAUCCAACAAUCACCCAUGGUGGUUUUCAGUUGACCUCAAUAACAUUUUUAAGCAUCAUUGAAUCAGUCUGCAACCAAAUGUGGGUGAUGUGGUGUUGAGAACGACUUCUUAGGGCCUCCAAAACAGCCAAUGCCUCAGCCACUGUAUUUGUAGUCUCCUGUAAUUCCUUUCCACAUGCAUAUACCACAUCUUCAAGCUCGUUUCUCAUACAAAAACCAAUAGAACUCCUGCCCGGAUUCUCCCUAAAUGCCCCAUCAGUAUUACCUUUAACCCAGCCAUCACUAGGAAAUUCCCAUUGUUUAAUUUAGGAGAAUAGUUGUCCAUCAUAUGCAACAAAUCUGGCCACCUAUGCAGUACAUGUUGAAGCCUAGGUUUCCGAACUUUGAAAAGAGAUUAAAUAGUAGAAGACUCUUGAUAAAUGACCUACUAAUAGUCACAAUGUCCCAGUGCUUAUAACUGUUUCUCCUCUUCCACAGUUCCCACAUAAUAAUACAACGCAAAUCUUGAAAGAUUUGCCGAGCGUCGAUUGGAAAUAGCCUCUCUGCCCUUUCGGGUAGGGGUAAGGCUCGUCUACAUAUUGCCCUCCCCAGACCCCACUUUGUGGGACUAUACUGGGUAGUAGUUGUUGUUGUUGUUGUUGGUAUUACCUGGACUGUCCAGAACUUCAUCACUGCUUGGUGCAAGUUUAGACCUUCUAGUGAUAAACCUGCAAAUGAAAAGAUUUAAGACCACACCCUAGAACACAUGCCCCUUGUUUCCUCAUUCAGAUUUACACAACACCAACAAACUGAAUGCGUAAAAUAUCUCCAAUAGGAAUGGCAAUGGGCCGGGGCGGAUGGGUUUAAACCUAUGCGGGUUGAAGCUUGUGCGGGUGCGGGGCGGGUUGCGAGUCCAUUGCCUUUAUCCAGUUUUGGGCCUUUACGCCUUUAGGCCUUUAGGCUAACAUUGGAAGUUAAUUUCAUUGUUUAACCACAAUCUUCAAAUACAUAUUGAACCAUAUUCUGUCGGAAAAUCAUAUCGUUACUUUUUUUUGCCAGAACACAUUUACCUGAUUAUGUGUUUGAUUCUAGAUUUCUAGUAAUAUCUUUUAAUUAGGAGUAAUAACAUUCUUCAAAGUUUAGCAGCUUAUAAAUUAUGUUAAUCAUUUGACUAUUAGUUAAUAUUUUAUCAAAACUAAACGUAAUAAUUUAUUGAAAUCAUAAUCUUAUUUCAAUAUUAUAAUACCUUAUUUAUAACUUCAACUGUCCGUUUAUCUAUUCGGGAUGUUGUAUAUUUUUUCCAUUCGGAUGUGCUAAUAUUUUGUAGAUCAUGAAGUUUAGUUGUCAAAUUUUAAAAGUUUUACCUUAUAGAUUAAUCAAUAAGUGAAAUUUUAUAGAUAUCAUAUAAAAUUUAGUCCUAAACUAUUUUAUAAAUAGAAUAACUUUUGGUGCAACAUGUUAAGUGAAAAAUACAUAUCUGGAUCAUUAAAACAAGCUACUAAUCAAUAGAAAUGAAAAAUGAUAAAUAGAAAAAGAAAAAAAAAGCCUUAUGCGGGCGGGACGGGGCGGGGCGAGCAGGAGCGGGUCGAGUGAGGGUUGAGUUAUUGCAGGUUUAAGUUGAACCUGCCCCGCAAUCGCCCCGCCCCGUUCUAUUGCCAUCCCUAGCAAUACUAACAAGCUUCUUAAUGAGAAGCUUGGGAUAGACUUGGCGGUUCGAGAUAAGCAUGCUGAGAUGGCUGAACACGUAUUGGGAGUUUGAGCGGGCUUCUAAGUGUUUCUUCCAACCGUAAUUUGCCCUUCCAAACUUUCCACAUGAAAAAAGGCUUCUUAAAUGGUAGUCCCUUCACCCAUAUGUUCUUGUAAACAAUGCUAGAGUCUCUUCUCCUUCUUAGGUACUCCCAGGAAGACUUGAUGCUAAACUCACCCUCUGUCUCCAACAUCAAGAAAAGUUUAUCUAGGUUGUGCAUUGUCUCGUCACAAUAGAUUAACAAAUUGGUUCUUAUUUGUCCAAUCAAUUAUAGGUGUAACUCUUAUUUUGACUUCACGUAUUUUGCUAUGUCAAUAUUUUCGUUCAUAGUUCGUAUCCGAAUUGAGGUCAAGGAUUUUUCUAUCAAGUCUUGGUUUGCAUUUUGAUUAUCUUCAAAUAAGAAAAUCACAAAAAAUAAAAAUUAUUCAUCGAUUGUUCUUAUUUGAUUUCCAGAAGUAGAAAUACAUCAUUGUUCGUCUCUUGUCUUGCUGCGACUAAUAUUUCAAACAUGAAUCAAAAUUAAAAUUGUUCUUUUGAUUAUUGACUCUCUGUGCUAGAAUUAAGAAUGAAGUUUGGUUUGAGAUUGGAACCCUAGUCGCCAUGGCAUUAUCAAAAAAUUGGGGUUUUUGCUCAAAUCCGAAAAGUUUGAGCUCGAAAUCGACUGGGGGUGUUCUAAUCUUGUUGGUACAGCUUGAUUGAGGUAAAAUCUGAAGCACUAGAUAAGAUUGCGACUGUUUUGGAAAGUUUUGCUCAGAAUUUCAACGCGGUUCUCAAAGGAGAAGUCGAUUGGGAUUUUUCGAUUCAGGGAUCGUUGGAGCAAAUUGAGUACUAGGCUUUUGCUCUGGUUGUUGAAUGGAGCUCGUAUGUCAAAAUUGAACUCAGUUGGUGAAGCUUCAGUGCAUUUGGGAUUGCAUUUUUGCAGCUGCUGUUCGAAGAACAGAGCUUCAGAUUUCUUCUAAGUACAACUAUUAAGUGCCCUACACAACGUAUUUACUCAUCGAUGCAUAGCUGAUUCCAAUAAUUCAUCAUUGAAGAUUGCACAUGUUAGAUUUCAGAAGUUCAACCGUAGUUUGAUUUCUGAAAAUUGAAAGGAUUUGAGUUUCAACUGAACUACUACUUCGUUCUGAGUAAUUGAUUUGAAUGAAUUCGAUUCGUGUUGCUUAGCUUGAUUUAUGAGUAUUGAUCAGAAAUCUGUCGUAGCUACUACAAAUUUGAAACUCCAUUUGUGUUCAGUUUGUUGCUGCCAAUUGUGAUCUAUAUCCUUGAUUGAGUUUCUGAGUUGUUAACUGAAAAAUUCAUCGAUAGCUUGGUUGAAUAAUCUCUGUGUGAUGAUAUGUUGAACUAGUUGUCUUCUUGAAGACCUUUGUGAUUCUUGAGUUUGAAUUUUGAAUUAACACUUGUUGAUUGAUGCUGCGGUUGAACAAUCAUUUCUGUUCUCCAGAAUUGCAGCAGUAGAAAUUUCACCGUGAGCUUCGACAUUCAAGUUGUAUACGGUAAAAUCGGACGGUCCAAUUUUCCAUCGUUAUGACGCCUCGAAGGCUCGGAAUCCUGGUCGAGUUUCAUCCCUCGAGGGCCAUCGACACUCGAUCUCGGAACAGUAUGAGACCGACGGUCACUGGAAGAAAAUGGGGAGUUCCCAAGGCGUUAAGCUAGAGCUGACAAAAUCUGCCAGGUUAGUGUGAGCCUGUAUCGUGACAUUAACUAGGUGUCCCAUCUCCAUAUCUUUGUAAUAAAUGCACUUGUACUAUAUUGGGAUUCCCCCUCUUAUAUAAAAGGGAUCCUUGUCAUUUUGUAAACAUCUGUUGCCUCCAUACUGAAUAUACAAGAACAUCUCUCUUCUAUUUAACACAUUCUCUUGGUCUCGUUAUCUCAUUUAUUGCC
Molecule: long non-coding RNA, 7569 nt
Filed under: Nicotiana benthamiana
Lineage: Eukaryota; Viridiplantae; Streptophyta; Magnoliopsida; Solanales; Solanaceae
Description: long non-coding RNA (NBEN_LNC016382)
Source: RNAcentral